This 75-nucleotide transfer RNA is filed under the name Planctomycetota bacterium. RNAcentral's name for it is "Planctomycetes bacterium (rhizosphere metagenome) tRNA-Val". It matches the Rfam family "tRNA". Rfam says of the family: Transfer RNA (tRNA) molecules are approximately 80 nucleotides in length. Their secondary structure includes four short double-helical elements and three loops (D, anti-codon, and T loops). The record is from RNAcentral. Lineage: Bacteria; Pseudomonadati; Planctomycetota.
GGUCUCGUGGAGCAGUCUGGAGUGCUCGCCACGCUCACAUCGUGGAGGUCGCUGGUUCAAAUCCAGCCGGGACUA